This 65-nucleotide transfer RNA is filed under the name Calacta lugubris. RNAcentral's name for it is "tRNA-Leu". Lineage: Eukaryota; Metazoa; Arthropoda; Insecta; Hemiptera; Plataspidae. The record is from RNAcentral.
GCUGCUUUGGCAGAUUAGUGCGGUAAGUUUAGAAUUUAUUUAUGCAGUUUUGGCUGCAGGUAGUA